Molecule: long non-coding RNA, 2163 nt
Organism: Neofelis nebulosa (Clouded leopard)
Lineage: Eukaryota; Metazoa; Chordata; Mammalia; Carnivora; Felidae
Exons: 3
Source: RefSeq, a predicted model, not a curated record
AAAGGUGUAAAACAUGAGGGGAAGGACGGGACAAGCAGACAGCGAGAUCAAUGAAUCAUGGGCAUCACGGAUGUAGAGCUGAGGUAAAGCACAGAAGACCAGAAGCAGAGUCAAGCCAGGAGGACGGGCUGAUGGGGACAGGCUCAGAAGAUCAGGCUGAAGGGACCAGAUCGGCCGUCUGGACCCUCGCGGGGUUGGUUGAGCAAAGAGCCCACCAAUCAAUGUUCACGUGGCCCCAAGGGACUCUGUUCACCCUUAGGAACCAUUCCUGGUAGCGUAGAGCAGUCUCAAGCUCUUUCUUCCCCUCACUGGCUGGGAAGGAGGAGCUCAUCCGCUUUGGGCAGGGGUUUAGCCGAGAAGGCAAGUGACAAACAAAAGCUAGACAAAUCUAAUCUAAUCCUCUGAUUUCCAGAUGAGGAACCUAAGAGAGCCCCCACAUCUCACAACCUGUUGGUGCCCCCAGAGGUCCUAAAUCCCAGCUCUGGACCCUUUCCACCAUGGCUCACGUUACUCUCUCAUCAGUUCUCUACCCUGGGAUGGUAUUUCUUCUCAUCUGACCUGGGCAGGCGGGACUAUGCUUUUCCAUUUAAAAAACAGCAAAACAAAGGUGACUCCUUCUACAUCCUAUCCAUGUUUCUCCUUUCCAACUAACUCUGUAGAGCUCAGAGGACAGAGGACGGCCUCACACUUUGCACCCAUGACUCUCUUGGACUGAAUGGUAUGCAAGACAAGCCCUAGCUGAAGAAACAACGGAGAUCAAGGAACAAACAAACAGACAACAGAUUCCUGAACCUGGCUUUCACAUGGCCCCAGGCCGCUUUCCUGACCUGGUGUCCUCCAAUUUCUUCCAUGCCCCGGAAGUUCCAGACAAACCAACCAGACCUCGUUCUCCUAGACACAGCAUACCCUCGAUUCACGCCAUUUCCCCUUGGAAUCGCCUUCUGUUCUCAGCUCACUCACCUCGCUGAAAAAAAACCCACUUAACUUUCGAUGUCCAAGCCAACGCCAGCUCCUCCAAUGCCGACCCUCUUUCAGGCAGAAUUAGCUGUUCCCUCUUCUACACCUUCCCAGCAUUCUAUUCACGGGGCUAACCUACUGACCAACAGUUUGGGCAUACGCACCGCAUCUUUCCCCACUCUUACGUUUUGACAUCUCCUCCAGCCCUGGACUGAGAGCAAGCAUUUAGCAAGUAUCUGUCAAGUGGCAGACCCUUCUUGAAUGUUCCAGAAUAAGUUGAGAGGACUCCAUGUCCCUCUCAGCUGUGUUUCCAGGAAAGGACGGAUUGAGCCUUUUUCAGGGCUACACCCCCCCCCCAACCUUAAGUGAUGUCCUGUAUCUAUCCUGGUAUUUCAGUGUGAUUAGUCAAGUCACCACAAACGAGAAUCUGUCACUGUCCUCAUUUCCGGCUCAUUUACAUGGUCCGACACCAGCCACUUUGCUCCUCUCCAGUUGUCCCAAUAUGUUCACCAGAUUGGCAUGUAUCAUACUAACCUUUCCCAGGAGUAAAAAUAAAAUAAAAUAAAAUUAGAUGAGACACAGAAAUAAAAUUCUCAGAUAAAUUAAAAGUAAUGCCUACUUAUGUGACAAGUUCUAUUCGAAACUGAGGGUUGGGUCACUGUUCAAUGCAAUCAGAGUACACAGGCCUACUGAGUAAUGAAAACUUUUAACAUUACUUUCCCCACAACUGAAGAAUUUUUGAAAUUUUGUUUUUAAAAAAUACACCACAAAUACCAGGCCGUUUAUAAGCAUAAACUCAAUCUCACCUUAUUAUUAAAAGUUAUGGAGACACUGCAUGGUAUGUUUUAUUUUACGCAGUAAUAACUACCUUGUUUUUUAAAAGCAUAAACAUGAUAAAACCUCCCUUUUUCUCCAUAUUUAAAUAAAAUCAUACACAUAACCUUAUACAAGUUUAUAAACGGCUCCACCAUUUUGAAUGCUGAGGCACAACUUAGUGGCCACCAUCAUUCAAAACAUCGUUAGCUCCCGAGCAACCAAGGAGAUCAUUUUUCUAGAAGUUGGGAAAUCGCAUUAACUUGUGUUAAAUAAAAAGGAAAAGCUCACCAUGAGUCACAGCACACAGACAGGGAGGAGGGCAGAAAGCACGGUAGCCAUCAUAAUAUAUCACAAUAGCAGAGAUGUCAAAAAAUUUUAGAGUUUCCUUCC